RNAcentral lists this long non-coding RNA (775 nucleotides) under Homo sapiens (human). Its description in RNAcentral is "HSALNT0191573". The record is from RNAcentral. Lineage: Eukaryota; Metazoa; Chordata; Mammalia; Primates; Hominidae.
CUAAGGGCUUUGGAGAGCAAAAGCAAAAGAUUAACUAACUGCUCACAUGGGUCCCAGGAAAAUACAAAAGCACUACUGUUUAACAGGAAAGUUACUAUCCAGAAAUUAACCCACAAAGGUGGGAAGAGUAUUUACCCGCUAAUCUCUUUAUUCCCUCGCCUGACAAAAUAUCUGCAUUCCUGGGCGGCCUCAAGAAAUGAACUACAGACAUCUAUUCCCUUUGUGAUACCUCCUUGGAAUCAAAGUGUGGAGUGUAACAAUGUGCCUCCACACACUCACACUAGUUGAUGCUUCAUCUUGGUGAAAUCAAGUUUUUGGAAUUACCUUUCCUAAGAUCAUUCUAUUCACAGAGAAGGAGCUUAAUGAAACUAUGGUGGAUGUAUUCUAGACAGAAGAAGGAUUAAACCAAGAUAAAAACAAUGUGAAUGAGGAAAGUGGGAGUAACAGGGAUUCCAAGAGAAAGAAGGAGAACUGGUAAUUGAUGUGGGGCCAAACAGCACAGUACAGCAGAAAGGAUCUAAAUUUGGGAAUUAUACUGAGAUUUUCCAUUUGUCAAAAAUGAGGAGUACUAAUCAGUAGUGCUAUGGAAACAAGACACUAACAGUUAUAGUCCGGAAGAAGAGAUGAUAACAUCUGUCCCUAAAAAGAGAAAUAUGUCUUAACCUUAAAGAAUCAAGGACUCCAGGGAUCUUUAAGUUCUGGUAGUGAGGAGAGUCAAAAAGGUAUAUCUCACCAAAGAGCCAGUGAAAAGUGCUAUGUGUUCACCCCUCUUCAU